This 302-nucleotide ribosomal RNA is filed under the name Pseudephebe pubescens. RNAcentral describes it as "partial 18S ribosomal RNA". Lineage: Eukaryota; Fungi; Ascomycota; Lecanoromycetes; Lecanorales; Parmeliaceae. The record is from RNAcentral.
UCUUGGUCAUUUAGAGGAAGUAAAAGUCGUAACAAGGUUUCCGUAGGUGGCACGUUUGCCUGCGCAUAGCCCCCGCAGCGACACUAAACAACUGCGCCAGUCGCCCCUGAUUUGGGGGCCGGCAACGCCAUCACUGUGCGCUGGGAAACCCACUCCAGGGCUGACCAGCAGCUUUGGGAGGCCUCGCUCGAGGUUUCCCGAGUCCACAGAUCAGACGAUAGCGGCCACUCCGGUGGUUGAGAUAUGACCGGCCUCGGCUGUCACCAGCUAGAGACUUCGCGGAACCUGCGGAAGGAUCAUUA